This is a small nuclear RNA of Sapajus apella (tufted capuchin), 104 nucleotides long. Lineage: Eukaryota; Metazoa; Chordata; Mammalia; Primates; Cebidae. The record is from RefSeq and is a predicted model, not a curated record.
GUGCUCCCUUCAGCAGCACAUAUACUAAAAUUGGAACUAUACAGAGAUUAGCAUGGCCCCUGCACAAGGAUGACACGUAAAUUUGUGAAGCAUUCCAAAAAAAA